RNAcentral lists this ribosomal RNA (223 nucleotides) under Raoultella sp. RNAcentral's name for it is "partial 16S ribosomal RNA". It matches the Rfam family "Bacterial small subunit ribosomal RNA", at positions 987 to 1206 of the family's 1533-position model. The record is from RNAcentral. Lineage: Bacteria; Pseudomonadati; Pseudomonadota; Gammaproteobacteria; Enterobacterales; Enterobacteriaceae.
UCCAGAGAACUUAGCAGAGAUGCUUUGGUGCCUUCGGGAACUCUGAGACAGGUGCUGCAUGGCUGUCGUCAGCUCGUGUUGUGAAAUGUUGGGUUAAGUCCCGCAACGAGCGCAACCCUUAUCCUUUGUUGCCAGCGAUUCGGUCGGGAACUCAAAGGAGACUGCCAGUGAUAAACUGGAGGAAGGUGGGGAUGACGUCAAGUCAUCAUGGCCCUUACGAGUA